RNAcentral lists this long non-coding RNA (610 nucleotides) under Ananas comosus (pineapple). RNAcentral's name for it is "long non-coding RNA (ACOM_LNC015357)". Lineage: Eukaryota; Viridiplantae; Streptophyta; Magnoliopsida; Poales; Bromeliaceae. The record is from RNAcentral.
AGCUAUCGCUUCGUAUACAGAAAAAUUUUCUUUAUAUACGGCGGAUUUUUUGGUGUGCCCGGGAAAAUAAGUAUUUCGGGGCAUGACAGGUUUGUAUUUUAAAAACAUUCUAUACAUUUUUACUUUAAUUUUAAUAUCAAACUUCAAUACUAUAUUUAUAAUAUGAUGAACGAUCAAUUUCAUAUUUGAAAUAUUUUAAAAACAUCCAAACUAUGAUCGGUCGAUUUUUAAUUUUAAUAAUUAAAUAUUUUAAAAUUUAUUAGAUACUUUAACAUAUUCUUUCCUCAAAUAAAAUUACUGAUUGAACAAAAUUGACCGAUGCUCAACUCUAUUUUCAUCUAAAAUAAAAUUAAAAUAUAAAAAUAAUAAAUUCCGUUUUCGAUUCUCAAACUAUAAGACGUAUGACACUUUAGUCCAUGAAUUUUAAUAAGCUAUAUUUUUUAACCCAAACAGUAAGAUGUAUGACACUUUAGUCCAUAAAUUUUAAUAAAGAAUUAUAUUUUCUUACUCAAACUAUCAGGCACGUGACGCUUUAGAGCUCAUACUUUAAUUAGUUGUAAUUUCUAACUCGAAUUAUAAGGCAUGUGACAUUCUAAUCGUCAACUUUACU